AACGAACGCUGGCGGCAUGCUUUAUACAUGCAAGUCGAACGGACCUUGAGGGCUUGCUCUCAAGUGUUAGUGGCAGACGGGUGAGUAAUACAUAGGAAUCUACCUUAAGGUGGGGAAUAACUUUGGGAAACCAGGGCUAAUACCUCAUAACAUGAGCAAUCAUCAAAGAUUUAUCGCCUUAAGAGGAGCCUAUGCCAGAUUAGGUUGUUGGUGGGGUAAUGGCCUACCAAGCCAAAGAUCUGUAGCUGGUCUGAGAGGAUGAUCAGCCACACUGGGACUUAGACACGGCCCAGACUCCUACGGGAGGCAGCAGUAGGGAAUAUUGGACAAUGGGGGAAACCCUGAUCCAGCAAUGCCGCGUGAGUGAAGAAGGCCCUUGGGUUGUAAAGCUCUUUCACCUGUGACGAUAAUGACGGUAGCAGGAUAAGAAGCCCCGGCUAACUCCG
This 446-nucleotide ribosomal RNA is filed under the name uncultured Rickettsiales bacterium. RNAcentral's name for it is "bacterial SSU rRNA". It matches the Rfam family "Bacterial small subunit ribosomal RNA", at positions 29 to 505 of the family's 1533-position model. The record is from RNAcentral. Lineage: Bacteria; Pseudomonadati; Pseudomonadota; Alphaproteobacteria; Rickettsiales.